Molecule: small nuclear RNA, 332 nt
Filed under: Octodon degus (degu)
Lineage: Eukaryota; Metazoa; Chordata; Mammalia; Rodentia; Octodontidae
Description: 7SK RNA (ENSODEG00000023077.1)
Rfam family: 7SK RNA
About the family: 7SK was discovered as an abundant small nuclear RNA in the mid-70s but a possible function has only recently been suggested.
Source: Rfam by way of RNAcentral
GGAUGUGAGGGCGAUCUGGCUGCAACAUCUAUCAUCCCAUUGAUCACCAGGGUUGAUUCGGCUGAUCUGGCUGGCUAGGCGGGUGUCCCCUUCCUCCCUCAAUGAUCCAUGUGUGUCCCUCCCAAAGCUGCGCACUUGGUUGGAGAGGACGACCACCCCCGAUAGAGGAGGACCACUCCUCAGUCAAGGGUAUACAAGUAGUUGCGCUUCCCUGCUAGAGCCUCCAAACAAGCUCUCAGAUAUAUCUCCUAGGUUUUCCUCAUAGAAUGAAAUUUUUCUAAACCAUUAAAAUAUGGUCAAAGGCAAAACUGAGGAUGUUCCUUACAUAAUGA